GGAGAAAUAGCUCAAGGUAAAAGCACAGGAUCUGCAUGCCUGAGGUCCCAGGUUCAAUCCCUGGCAUUGCCC
RNAcentral lists this transfer RNA (72 nucleotides) under Erinaceus europaeus (western European hedgehog). It matches the Rfam family "tRNA". From Rfam's summary of the family: Transfer RNA (tRNA) molecules are approximately 80 nucleotides in length. Their secondary structure includes four short double-helical elements and three loops (D, anti-codon, and T loops). The record is from Rfam by way of RNAcentral. Lineage: Eukaryota; Metazoa; Chordata; Mammalia; Eulipotyphla; Erinaceidae.